AGAGUUUGAUCAUGGCUCAGAGCGAACGCUGGCGGCAGGCCUAACACAUGCAAGUCGAGCGCCGUAGCAAUACGGAGCGGCAGACGGGAGAGUAACACGUGGGAACGUGCCCUUCAGUUCGGAACAACCCAGGGAAACUUGGGCUAAUACCGGAUACGUCCGUAAGGAGAAAGAUUUAUCGCUGAAGGAUCGGCCCGCGUCUGAUUAGCUAGUUGGUGGGGUAACGGCUCACCAAGGCGACGAUCAGUAGCUGGUCUGAGAGGAUGAUCAGCCUCACUGGGACUGAGACACGGCCCAGACUCCUACGGGAGGCAGCAGUGGGGAAUAUUGGACAAUGGGCGCAAGCCUGAUCCAGCCAUGCCGCGUGGAUGAUGAAGGCCCUAGGGUUGUAAAGUCCUUUCGGCGGGGAAGAUAAUGACGGUACCCGCAGAAGAAGCCCCGGCUAACUUCGUGCCAGCAGCCGCGGUAAUACGAAGGGGGCUAGCGUUGCUCGGAAUCACUGGGCGUAAAGCGCACGUAGGCGGCUUUUUAAGUCAGGGGUGAAAUCCUGGAGCUCAACUCCAGAACUGCCUUUGAUACUGAGAAGCUUGAGUCCGGGAGAGGUGAGUGGAACUGCGAGUGUAGAGGUGAAAUUCGUAGAUAUUCGCAAGAACACCAGUGGCGAAGGCGGCUCACUGGCCCGGUACUGACGCUGAGAUGCGAAAGCGUGGGGAGCAAACAGGAUUAGAUACCCUAGUAGUCC
This 742-nucleotide ribosomal RNA is filed under the name uncultured bacterium. RNAcentral's name for it is "bacterial SSU rRNA". It matches the Rfam family "Bacterial small subunit ribosomal RNA", at positions 8 to 796 of the family's 1533-position model. The record is from RNAcentral.